RNAcentral lists this ribosomal RNA (404 nucleotides) under Bacillota bacterium. RNAcentral's name for it is "Firmicutes bacterium partial 16S ribosomal RNA". It matches the Rfam family "Bacterial small subunit ribosomal RNA", at positions 355 to 776 of the family's 1533-position model. RNAcentral also lists the same sequence under 1 other name. Lineage: Bacteria; Bacillati; Bacillota. The record is from RNAcentral.
UGGGGAAUCUUAGACAAUGGGGGCAACCCUGAUCUAGCCAUGCCGCGUGGGUGAUGAAGGCCUUAGGGUCGUAAAGCCCUUUCGCUGGGGAAGAUAAUGACGGUACCCAGUAAAGAAGCCCCGGCUAACUCCGUGCCAGCAGCCGCGGUAAUACGGAGGGGGCUAGCGUUGUUCGGAAUGACUGGGCGUAAAGCGCGCGUAGGCGGAUUGGCAAGUUGGGGGUGAAAUCCCGGGGCUCAACCUCGGAAUGGCCUUCAAGACUGCUGGUCUUGAGUUCGAGAGAGGUGAGUGGAAUUCCGAGUGUAGAGGUGAAAUUCGUAGAUAUUCGGAGGAACACCAGUGGCGAAGGCGGCUCACUGGCUCGACACUGACGCUGAGGUGCGAAAGCGUGGGGAGCAAACAGG